UUGCACCCUGGCGUCGAGCGGCGGACGGGUGAGUAAUGCUUAGGAAUCUGCCCAGUAGUAGGGGAUAGCCCGGGGAAACUCGGAUUAAUACCGUAUACGCCCUUUUGGGGAAAGCAGGGGAUCUUCGGACCUUGCGCUAUUGGAUGAGCCUAAGUCGGAUUAGCUAGUUGGUGGGGUAAUGGCUCACCAAGGCAACGAUCCGUAGCUGGUCUGAGAGGAUGAUCAGCCACAUCGGGACUGAGACACGGCCCGAACUCCUACGGGAGGCAGCAGUGGGGAAUAUUGGACAAUGGGCGCAAGCCUGAUCCAGCCAUACCGCGUGUGUGAAGAAGGCUUUCGGGUUGUAAAGCACUUUCAGUGAGGAGGAAGGCCUUAAGUUUAAUACGCUUGAGGAUUGACGUCACUCACAGAAGAAGCACCGGCUAACUCCGUGCCAGCAGCCGCGGUAAUACGGAGGGUGCAAGCGUUAAUCGGAAUUACUGGGCGUAAAGCGCGCGUA
RNAcentral lists this ribosomal RNA (499 nucleotides) under Marinobacter sp. E10S19. Its description in RNAcentral is "bacterial SSU rRNA". It matches the Rfam family "Bacterial small subunit ribosomal RNA", at positions 78 to 573 of the family's 1533-position model. The record is from RNAcentral. Lineage: Bacteria; Pseudomonadati; Pseudomonadota; Gammaproteobacteria; Pseudomonadales; Marinobacteraceae.